This 149-nucleotide small RNA is filed under the name Polaribacter atrinae. RNAcentral's name for it is "Flavo-1 RNA". It matches the Rfam family "Flavo-1 RNA". Lineage: Bacteria; Pseudomonadati; Bacteroidota; Flavobacteriia; Flavobacteriales; Flavobacteriaceae. The record is from Rfam by way of RNAcentral.
UCUUGGCUUUGCGUUAGGGAUUGAAACGGCAUCCUUUUUUAUUUUUAAAUAGUAUACCUAUUUUACAUAAACGAAGUACUUAUUUAGAUUCUGUAGUUGCUUAAAUGAAUCUAAAUAUAAAAAAGAUAUAGUGUAAAGCCCGUUAAAAC